CAGUCGCCGCGGGAAUACGUAGGGUGCGAGCGUUAAUCGGAAUUACUGGGCGUAAAGCGUGCGUAGGCGGUGAGUUAAGUCCGUUGUGAAAGCCCUGGGCUCAACCUGGGAAUUGCAGUGGAUACUGGGUCACUAGAGUGUGGUAGAGGAUAGUGGAAUUUCCGGUGUAGCAGUGAAAUGCGUAGAGAUCGGAAGGAACAUCUGUGGCGAAGGCGACCCCCUGGACAAAGACUGACGCUCAGGUGCGAAAGCGUGGGGAGCAAACAGGAUUAGAUACCCGCGUAGUCCCUGUCUCUUAUAC
This 301-nucleotide ribosomal RNA is filed under the name uncultured bacterium. RNAcentral describes it as "partial 16S ribosomal RNA". It matches the Rfam family "Bacterial small subunit ribosomal RNA", at positions 509 to 807 of the family's 1533-position model. The record is from RNAcentral.